RNAcentral lists this microRNA precursor (101 nucleotides) under Marmota monax (woodchuck). Lineage: Eukaryota; Metazoa; Chordata; Mammalia; Rodentia; Sciuridae. The record is from RNAcentral.
AUAUAAUCACCUGGAGAUCAUAUUAAAAUACAGCUUCUGAUUUAAUACCUCUUGGGCAGGGCCUGAGAUCUUGAAUUUCUAAGGUCCCAGGUGAUGGCCAU